This 739-nucleotide ribosomal RNA is filed under the name uncultured bacterium. Its description in RNAcentral is "bacterial SSU rRNA". It matches the Rfam family "Bacterial small subunit ribosomal RNA", at positions 8 to 796 of the family's 1533-position model. The record is from RNAcentral.
AGAGUUUGAUCCUGGCUCAGAACGAACGCUGGCGGCAGGCUUAACACAUGCAAGUCGAACGCACCGCAAGGUGAGUGGCAGACGGGUGAGUAACGCGUGGGAACGUGCCCUUCAGUUCGGGAUAACCCAGGGAAACUUGGGCUAAUACCGGAUACGUGCGAGAGCAGAAAGAUUGAUCGCUGAAGGAUCGGCCCGCGUCUGAUUAGCUAGUUGGUAGGGUAAUGGCCUACCAAGGCGACGAUCAGUAGCUGGUCUGAGAGGAUGAUCAGCCACAUUGGGACUGAGACACGGCCCAAACUCCUACGGGAGGCAGCAGUGGGGAAUAUUGGACAAUGGGCGCAAGCCUGAUCCAGCCAUGCCGCGUGAGUGAUGAAGGCCUUAGGGUUGUAAAGCUCUUUCGGCGGGGACGAUAAUGACGGUACCCGCAGAAGAAGCCCCGGCUAACUUCGUGCCAGCAGCCGCGGUAAUACGAAGGGGGCUAGCGUUGUUCGGAAUCACUGGGCGUAAAGGGCGCGUAGGCGGCCUGAUAAGUCGGGGGUGAAAGCCUGUGGCUCAACCACAGAAUUGCCUUCGAUACUGUCGGGCUUGAGACCGGAAGAGGUAAGUGGAACUGCGAGUGUAGAGGUGAAAUUCGUAGAUAUUCGCAAGAACACCAGUGGCGAAGGCGGCUUACUGGUCCGGUUCUGACGCUGAGGGCGAAAGCGUGGGGAGCAAACAGGAUUAGAUACCCUAGUAGUCC